RNAcentral lists this ribosomal RNA (429 nucleotides) under Chloroflexota bacterium. RNAcentral describes it as "Chloroflexi bacterium partial 16S ribosomal RNA". It matches the Rfam family "Bacterial small subunit ribosomal RNA", at positions 355 to 776 of the family's 1533-position model. Lineage: Bacteria; Bacillati; Chloroflexota. The record is from RNAcentral.
UGGGGAAUAUUGCACAAUGGGCGCAAGCCUGAUGCAGCCAUGCCGCGUGUAUGAAGAAGGCCUUCGGGUUGUAAAGUACUUUCAGCGGGGAGGAAGGGAGUAAAGUUAAGACCUUUGCUCAUUGACGUUACCCGCAGAAGAAGCACCGGCUAACUCCGUGCCAGCAGCCGCGGUAAUACGGAGGGUGCAAGCGUUAAUCGGAAUUACUGGGCGUAAAGCGCACGCAGGCGGUUUGUUAAGUCAGAUGUGAAAUCCCCGGGCUCAACCUGGGAACUGCAUCUGAUACUGGCAAGCUUGAGUCUCGUAGAGGGGGGUAGAAUUCCAGGUGUAGCGGUGAAAUGCGUAGAGAUCUGGAGGAAUACCGGUGGCGAAGGCGGCCCCCUGGACGAAGACUGACGCUCAGGUGCGAAAGCGUGGGGAGCAAACAGG